This 225-nucleotide long non-coding RNA is filed under the name Solanum tuberosum (potato). RNAcentral describes it as "long non-coding RNA (STUB_LNC002723)". Lineage: Eukaryota; Viridiplantae; Streptophyta; Magnoliopsida; Solanales; Solanaceae. The record is from RNAcentral.
UGGGUCGUGACAAACUUGGUAAUCAGAGCACAAGGUUUGGAAUGGUUCUAGGAUGUCUAAAAACCACAUCAAAUAGAGUCUUGUUCAUAAGUGUGAGGCGUGCCACAUUUAUGAAUGAGAGGUUACGAGAUUUUUAGGAAACUUCACUUCUUCAUUUCUCUAAGUCGUGCCAUAUAGUUUAACUUUAUAAGGUCUUUCUCCUAAUCCUUACCCGAUGGUCUACAG